GGGUAGUUUGACUGGGGCGGUCUCCUCCUAAAGAGUAACGGAGGAGCACGAAGGUUGGCUAAUCCUGGUCGGACAUCAGGAGGUUAGUGCAAUGGCAUAAGCCAGCUUGACUGCGAGCGUGACGGCGCGAGCAGGUGCGAAAGCAGGUCAUAGUGAUCCGGUGGUUCUGAAUGGAAGGGCCAUCGCUCAACGGAUAAAAGGUACUCCGGGGAUAACAGGCUGAUACCGCCCAAGAGUUCAUAUCGACGGCGGUGUUUGGCACCUCGAUGUCGGCUCAUCACAUCCUGGGGCUGAAGUAGGUCCCAAGGGUAUGGCUGUUCGCCAUUUAAAGUGGUACGCGAGCUGGGUUUAGAACGUCGUGAGACAGUUCGGUCCCUAUCUGCCGUGG
RNAcentral lists this ribosomal RNA (388 nucleotides) under Escherichia coli. Its description in RNAcentral is "partial 23S ribosomal RNA". It matches the Rfam family "Bacterial large subunit ribosomal RNA", at positions 2263 to 2650 of the family's 2925-position model. The record is from RNAcentral. Lineage: Bacteria; Pseudomonadati; Pseudomonadota; Gammaproteobacteria; Enterobacterales; Enterobacteriaceae.